Long non-coding RNA from Centruroides sculpturatus (bark scorpion), 493 nucleotides. RefSeq lists it as uncharacterized. NCBI's taxonomy places the organism in Eukaryota, Metazoa, Arthropoda, Arachnida, Scorpiones, Buthidae. The record is from RefSeq and is a predicted model, not a curated record. The transcript is spliced from 3 exons.
AAACCGUCCGAGAAGCAAAUCGUCCAACAUGAACAAGUUGUACAUUGUCGCCUUUGUUGCCGCUUUCGUGGCCGUAGCUGCCGCAGUCGGAGGAGUAAAGGAUUUAGUUGGAAACUACUACGAUUUUACAACUGGACAAUUGGCUAGUUCUACAACCGGCAGAGUCUACAACCCUCUCUACGCUUACGAAACUCAUCUUCCAUACGCACCAUAUUCUUAUUAUCCAUCUUAUACUUAUUACACUCCCUCUACUUACUACCCUCCCUCUCCAUAUUAUCCAUAUUACCGUAGGGCUUACUACUUUAAAUAGAUGAAAAUGAUGCCAAGAUGUGUAGAAUGCUCCUGAAUUCGCCUUCAGUCUUCGCAGAUUCUUCUGUCGAGUCUUUAAUUUACGUUCGCUGUAAAUAAAUUAUCACGUUUUCAAUAAAAACUUUUUGUUCAUCAAAUAUUUUGUGUUGUUUCCACGUUAGUAUUUACGAUUUUCCGCUUAUAU